This 253-nucleotide ribosomal RNA is filed under the name uncultured bacterium. RNAcentral's name for it is "partial 16S ribosomal RNA". It matches the Rfam family "Bacterial small subunit ribosomal RNA", at positions 524 to 776 of the family's 1533-position model. The record is from RNAcentral.
GACGUAGGGCGCGAGCGUUGUCCGGAUUUAUUGGGCGUAAAGAGCUCGUAGGCGGCUUGUCGCGUCGACUGUGAAAACUUGGGGCUCAACCCCAAGCUUGCAGUCGAUACGGGCAGGCUAGAGUUCGGUAGGGGAGACUGGAAUUCCUGGUGUAGCGGUGAAAUGCGCAGAUAUCAGGAGGAACACCGGUGGCGAAGGCGGGUCUCUGGGCCGUAACUGACGCUGAGGAGCGAAAGCGUGGGGAGCGAACAGG